RNAcentral lists this ribosomal RNA (242 nucleotides) under Eurythenes sp. 9152 HR-2015. RNAcentral's name for it is "partial 16S ribosomal RNA". The record is from RNAcentral. Lineage: Eukaryota; Metazoa; Arthropoda; Malacostraca; Amphipoda; Lysianassidae.
CUUCUGCUCCACACUGAGCUUUUAAUUCAACAUCGAGGUCGCAAUCAACCCCAUAGAUACGAUCUCCCUGGGACUAUUACGCUGUUAUCCCUAAAGUAACUUACUCAACUUGUCCCUAUCUAAAGGACCUAACCCCACUUUACAUGUCUAGUGCAACCUCAGAUUUUACAAAAAAACUACCCCAGUUAAACUCUCUAUUCUAUCUUAAACUCAAACCCGUGUUAAAAAUAAAGCUUUUAGGG